ACUCCUACGGGAGGCAGCAGUGGGGAAUAUUGCACAAUGGGGGAAACCCUGAUGCAGCCAUGCCGCGUGUGUGAAGAAGGCCUUGGGUUGUAAAGCACUUUCAGUAGGGAGGAAGGUAGUGUAGUUAACACCUGCACUAUUUGACGUUACCUACAGAAGAAGCACCGGCUAACUCCGUGCCAGCAGCCGCGGUAAGUACGGAGGGUGCGAGCGUUAAUCGGAAUUACUGGGCGUAAAGCGCAUGCAGGCGGCCUGUUAAGUCAGAUGUGAAAGCCCGGGGCUUAACCUCGGAAUUGCAUUUGAAACUGGCAGGCUAGAGUCUUGUAGAGGGGUUAGAAUUUCAGGUGUAGCGGUGAAAUGCGUAGAGAUCUGAAGGAAUACCAGUGGCGAAGGCGGCCCCUGGACAAAGACUGACGCUCAGAUGCGAAAGCGUGGGAGCAAACAGGAUUAGAUACCCC
This 458-nucleotide ribosomal RNA is filed under the name uncultured bacterium. Its description in RNAcentral is "bacterial SSU rRNA". It matches the Rfam family "Bacterial small subunit ribosomal RNA", at positions 335 to 788 of the family's 1533-position model. The record is from RNAcentral.